RNAcentral lists this ribosomal RNA (301 nucleotides) under uncultured bacterium. RNAcentral's name for it is "partial 16S ribosomal RNA". It matches the Rfam family "Bacterial small subunit ribosomal RNA", at positions 509 to 808 of the family's 1533-position model. The record is from RNAcentral.
CAGCAGCCGCGGUAAUACGUAGGUCCCGAGCGUUGUCCGGAUUUAUUGGGCGUAAAGCGAGCGCGGGCGGUUAGAUAAGUCUGAAGUUAAAGGCUGCGGCUUAACCAUAGUACGCUUUGGAAACUGUUUAACUUGAGUGCAGAAGGGGAGAGUGGAAUUCCAUGUGUAGCGGUGAAAUGCGUAGAUAUAUGGAGGAACACCGGUGGCGAAAGCGGCUCUCUGGUCUGUAACUGACGCUGAGGCUCGAAAGCGUGGGGAGCGAACAGGAUUAGAUACCCGAGUAGUCCCUGUCUCUUAUACA